AACGCGAAGAACCUUACCAGGUCUUGACAUCCUCUGACACUCCUAGAGAUAGGACGUUCCCCUUCGGGGGACAGAGUGACAGGUGGUGCAUGGUUGUCGUCAGCUCGUGUCGUGAGAUGUUGGGUUAAGUCCCGCAACGAGCGCAACCCUUGAUCUUAGUUGCCAGCAUUUAGUUGGGCACUCUAAGGUGACUGCCGGUGACAAACCGGAGGAAGGUGGGGAUGACGUCAAAUCAUCAUGCCCCUUAUGACCUGGGCUACACACGUGCUACAAUGGAUGGUACAAAGGGCUGCAAAACCGCGAGGUCGAGCCAAUCCCAUAAAAACCAUUCUCAGUUCGGAUUGUAGGCUGCAACUCGCCUACAUGAAGCUGGAAUCGCUAGUAAUCGUGGAUCAGCAUGCCACGGUGAAUACGUUCCCGGGCCUUGUA
This 429-nucleotide ribosomal RNA is filed under the name uncultured Bacillota bacterium. RNAcentral's name for it is "bacterial SSU rRNA". It matches the Rfam family "Bacterial small subunit ribosomal RNA", at positions 958 to 1385 of the family's 1533-position model. The record is from RNAcentral. Lineage: Bacteria; Bacillati; Bacillota.